GGCCUAAUGGCCCAAUGGCAAGGCGCUUGACUACGAUUCACUGAAUCCGAUAUCAAGAGAUUCCAGGUUCGACCCCUGGUUAGGUCA
Non-coding RNA from Macroventuria anomochaeta, 87 nucleotides. The record is from the annotation of a RefSeq genome assembly. NCBI's taxonomy places the organism in Eukaryota, Fungi, Ascomycota, Dothideomycetes, Pleosporales, Didymellaceae.